UCCUUGUCAGUACCAGCUGGUGACUUUCCUAC
Molecule: non-coding RNA, 32 nt
Filed under: Homo sapiens (human)
Lineage: Eukaryota; Metazoa; Chordata; Mammalia; Primates; Hominidae
Source: RNAcentral